UACGUAGGGUGCGAGCGUUAAUCGGAAUUACUGGGCGUAAAGCGUGCGCAGGCGGUUAUUUAAGUCAGGUGUGAAAGCCCUGGGCUUAACCUAGGAAUUGCGCUUGAGACUGGAUAGCUUGGAGUGCGGCAGAGGGAGGUGGAAUUCCACGUGUAGCAGUGAAAUGCGUAGAGAUGUGGAGGAACACCGAUGGCGAAGGCAGCCUCCUGGGCCAGCACUGACGCUGAGGAGCGAAAGCGUGGGGAGCGAACAGG
RNAcentral lists this ribosomal RNA (254 nucleotides) under uncultured bacterium. RNAcentral describes it as "partial 16S ribosomal RNA". It matches the Rfam family "Bacterial small subunit ribosomal RNA", at positions 524 to 776 of the family's 1533-position model. The record is from RNAcentral.